RNAcentral lists this ribosomal RNA (1227 nucleotides) under Triticum aestivum (bread wheat). Its description in RNAcentral is "partial small subunit ribosomal RNA". Lineage: Eukaryota; Viridiplantae; Streptophyta; Magnoliopsida; Poales; Poaceae. The record is from RNAcentral.
AUGGGCUGGGGCAUCGUGGACUGCCGCGACGGUUACAUCCUCCUGUGGAACUGGAACAUGAUGUCCGUCGCCGCCGUGAACCCCAUGACCUGGGCCGUGGACAUCAUCCCGUUGCCUGAGGAUGCCAGGGAAGGGCGUCUCCGUGGUUUCGCCUGGCUUGGUUCCCGUCUGCUGUCUUGUGAGGAGAACCCCUGGUCGUUCCGUGUGGUCUGCGUCUGCGCCGACGUGUCUAGGGUUCGUGCUGCCGUCUUCUCGUCGGAGACAUGGGGUUGGGUCAUCCACCCGGGGGUCGAAAUCGGUGGUGACAAUAGCCUCAAGUACAAUGCUGGCAUGCUGGUCCAUGGUUCCGUUUACCGGCCUUUCCAUGGCAAACACCGCAUGAUAAGGAUCAACACAGCCACCACCAUGGACAUCUUCUUGAGUGAAGAAAUUGGUCGGGUCACUCGGGGCUGGCUGGGCCACCUUAGGGUUGUGCAACUUAGGUCUGGAUAUGUCUACUUGUCCAUGAAAUGGAUUACCCCUGUUGGCAUACUCCGCUGCUGGUUCUUAUCCCUUUCAUUGGAGACCAUCAAGAUUGAGUCACUGAUCCACGGGACAUUUGGGGACUGUGCCUAUCCGUACGUUAUGGCAUGGCCUCCUUGUUUGAUUGGUCGUGAUGGGAGCAGCACUGGGCAUGAAGUUGAAGAGAAAAACACAGGACAGCUAGUUCUGGAAACAGCUGGGGAGAUUUGCAUUUUUGGCGAAGAGGAGGAGAACCUGUGGGCGGACUGCAUAGAUUGGGAGAGCGCCAAGAACCGCCCGGACAAGAACAGCCCUGCCAGCCAGAGACAGCAUAAGUCCCCUCCACCCAGCCAAAUGCCGGUCAACCUUGUCGAUGAUGAAGAAGAGGCAGUUGGUCCCUUGGUUGACUGGAUAUCGAAGAGUUUUGAAACAGCAGGGGAGGUUUGCGUUUUUGGCGAAGAGGAGGAGAACCUGUGGGCGGACUGCAUAAUGGCCAAGUCUGGUGCGCUGGUUGAUGGUCCCGUUUACUGGCCUAUCCAAGGCGAAGCACGCAUGGUAAGGGUCAACACUACCACCAUGGAUAUCGCCAUUGUGGAUCUACCAUCUCAAACUAUGAAGAUUGACUUGCUGAUUCAGGGGAGGUAUGAUGACCGCGGCUAUCCCUACAUUAUCGCCUGGCCUCCUUCUUUAGUUGUUGAUGAUGGACCUCAACUUGAAGAUCAGUAG